RNAcentral lists this ribosomal RNA (253 nucleotides) under uncultured bacterium. RNAcentral's name for it is "partial 16S ribosomal RNA". It matches the Rfam family "Bacterial small subunit ribosomal RNA", at positions 524 to 776 of the family's 1533-position model. The record is from RNAcentral.
UACGUAGGGUGCAAGCGUUGUCCGGAAUUAUUGGGCGUAAAGAGCUCGUAGGCGGUUUGUCGCGUCGAAUGUGAAAACCCGAGGCUCAACCUCGGGCCUGCAUUCGAUACGGGCAGACUAGAGUUCGGUAGGGGAGUCUGGAAUUCCUGGUGUAGCGGUGAAAUGCGCAGAUAUCAGGAGGAACACCGGUGGCGAAGGCGGGACUCUGGGCCGAUACUGACGCUGAGGAGCGAAAGCGUGGGGAGCGAACAGG